CCGUGUGCAUCUCUGUUUACACACGAAUGCUUGUGUGAGUUUUGAAGGAAAUAAAGUAAUAAACCACUAAUGCUCCUAUGAAUUCUGACCUGCAAAUUUAUUAAUAAUGGAAACGGAAGACUUUGUGUUUAAUUAUCAACACUUAACCAACAGAGAGCUUCGUAGAGAAACGACCUCAAGUCCCUAGAGCCUUCAUCUUCCACAGCCAGCAAUGGCGGAUAGAAAGAAAUCUAAGAAACCCUCAAAUAACAAGCUUGACUACCUCAAGACUGACAUAGUCUCCUUCGCUUCCUCCUCGGCCUCUCAACCUCUCUCCCACCCUCCGAUUCUUCAGGCUUCAACGAUGUCGAUUUUCGCAACCCCAAAACAAAGAUUCCACCAAAACAAGAACAACUAGAAAUGGCAAAGAUGUACCCCUCAGAAUGUUCACUAGUCUCAACCUCAAAUCAAAAAGUCACCUUCUUUAUCCCCAAAUCAGUCCCCAUCUCAUAAACCCCAUAAGCUCUCAGAUCCGACCCAAAAAAAUCCCACCUCAAAAUUCCGGCGAAACCCAAACCCAAACCAUGGAAGCUUUCUGAUCUCAGUCGUCUCCGGUCGGUUCUCGAAUUACAUGCAGAAUUGCAGAGUCGCAACUCCGCCAGAUCGUUCUCGUCCUUAUAUUUUUAUCAUGUCAUGUGCAGAUGGUCCAAUGAAGAAGUAGUAGUUUGGGAUCUGCCCUCCUCCACCGACUUAAUCUUUGCCGUUGCAACUACCGACCUCUGGAUUUAGAUAAUUGACUUAAGAAUUCUUGUGCAAUUCCUCUGCCCGGAACUUUUCUGGAUCAGUUCGUCCUCCGGUAACAUGUAUUUUGAAACAGGACCAUGUAUUGUGAAACAGUAAUGAAGGAUACAACAAAAUAUCCAAAUCCAACGUAAAAUACCAUUCACACGGACCAGUAAUAUAUUAUAACAAAAGCUCGUCAGAUUGAUGUGACUGGUCACUGGUAUUCAGCAAACGAGAAUAGCGUGGGACCCAUCAAUUUCUUUCACACGGACAAGCUUUACCGAGCACAAUCGCAUCAGCGACGCCAGCAAUACCUACGGAUAAAAUAUCCGUCACUGUACUGUGUGAAUUAGCAAGUUCACACGGAAAUCUGUGUAAAUUAAGAGAAAUACACACGGAUUCUGCACAGUGUGCAGUGGCUAUA
This is a long non-coding RNA of Rosa rugosa (rugosa rose), 1186 nucleotides long. RefSeq lists it as uncharacterized. The transcript has 3 exons. The record is from RefSeq and is a predicted model, not a curated record. NCBI's taxonomy places the organism in Eukaryota, Viridiplantae, Streptophyta, Magnoliopsida, Rosales, Rosaceae.